UCUAGAUGUUCCAUGAUCGUGCACCUAAAUUAAAAUGACAACCUAAAAAGCCCCAAGUUCAUUUAGUGUUGUUCAUUUACUGUUCCUAAUGAACAGCGAAAUGACACCCUUGCCCUUAGCCCCUUGUCUUGAUUGACCAAAUUUCCAAGGUUAUUUUGGUCUUUUCGGGUUUUCCUAUUUCUCUCUCCUGCUUUUGCUCCUCUCAUUCUCACUCUCUCUAAGUCCUAAGCAUCCUCACAUCAUCUCCAACAGCUACACAACCCAGUUGAUAUUCAAUUGCCAAAUCCUUUUCCUAAUCCCAACGCCGACCACCCACCCAUGCAUAUCCUAGCAUUUUCCCCAAUUUUCCCUUCUUCGAUCAACAUUAAUUUAAACCCUAAUUUUUAAAACAAUGCGACACCCACAAAUUUCUCUCUCAAUACCACCUCCAGAUUUUGAGGACUUUCCGCCUUUCCUCCAUUGAAGCUUACUCCGAGUUUCUAAUGAAGGCUUAAAGGUACUCUGUGUUUUAUCUCUUCUCCAUUAAAGCAGCUCCUAGAGGGAUUGUGAUGGGUUUUGUGUUGAUAAAAUUGGGAUUUUGAGGGGCCGAAUGGUGGUUGCUUGAUGUCGCUGUUGCUUGGCGUUAGAUUGUGCUGGUUGCGGUUAGAAUGUGACCAUGAAGUGGCGAGGAGUAGCGGCAAGUGGUGUUUGUGGUUGUGUAUAGCAGGGGAGAUGCGAGGGUGUGCGAUUGUGUAGUAGGGGAGAUGCGCAGUGGCUGUUGUAGUGUCGGUGAUGGUGGUUAAUGGGCUGCUUAAGGUUGUUGUUGGGCGGAGGUGGAGAAUUAAUGGUGGUGCGCGAUCGGUGAGGUUUGUGGGCUGAUGUUGUUGCGGGGGAGAUGUUGUGAGAGGGCUGUUGGGAUUUUUGUGAAAGUUUUUGGGGUCUAAAGUUUGUUAAUUGUGAUGUGUUUUUAUUUUUUUAUUUUGGUAUUAUUUGUUUGAAAAUGCGUUUUGAUAAUUGAUCGUGCUUUUCCUCAAAUCGACAUUGUAUUGUUAAUAAUCUAAAGUUUUAAUCUUUAAUAUUGCAGAUAAA
This is a long non-coding RNA of Chenopodium quinoa (quinoa), 1068 nucleotides long. RefSeq lists it as uncharacterized. The transcript has 2 exons. The record is from RefSeq and is a predicted model, not a curated record. NCBI's taxonomy places the organism in Eukaryota, Viridiplantae, Streptophyta, Magnoliopsida, Caryophyllales, Amaranthaceae.